CCCAGUUCCAGCUGGCCAGGCAUCGAGGGAGGAGCGUCCUUGCGAGACUCGUCGGGCACCCCACGACCGUGGUCGAGGCGUCGGCAGGGACGCUAGUCUGCGCCUCGGCACUGCUACCGGCUGGGGCGGGCGGCGUCUCCUUGGGCUACCUGGUUGUUGACGAACUUCCGAACCAACGCGUCUCGCCGCGUCGACGGCUGGAGUCCGGGGCAAUGGGACAUUUGCUGCGUAAGCUGACAACGUACUGAGAAAAGUGAUGCCCUUCAGCGAAGUGGUGUUCUCAGCUGGGGACAUACACUAGGGACAUUCCGAAUCCGCUUGGACCGCUUUACAACGUGCAGGAACGGCUACGCUGUGACGCCGCUGCAGAUAGCAGCGAGCAGUGGACGCUUUUGAACAGGACAUUUACUGCGUCAGUUGACAACGUACCGAGAAAAGUGAAACCGUUCAGCGAGGUGAUGUUCUCAGCUGGUGACAUACACUAAGGACAUUCCGAAUCCUUUUGGACCGCUUCACAACGUGCAGGAACGGCUACGCUGUGACGCCGUUGCAGAUAGCAGCGAGCAAUGGACGCUUUUGGACAGGACAUCUGCUGCGUCAGUUGACAACGUACUGAGAGAAGUGAAACCCUUCAGCGAGGUGAUGUUCUCAGCUGGGGACAUACUCUAGGGACAUUCCGAAUCCGCUUGGACCGCUUUACAACGUGCAGGAACGGCUACGCUGUGACGCCGUUGCAGAUAGCAGCGAGCAGUGGACGCUUUUGGACAGGUUAUAUGCUGCGUCCGUUGACAACGUGCUGAGAGAAGGGAAACCGUUCAGCGAGGUGUUCUCAGCUGGAGACAUACACUAGGGACAUUCCGAAUCCUUUUGGACCGCUUCACAACGUGCAGGAACGGCUACGCUGUGACGCCGCUGCAGAUAGCAGCGAGAAGUGGAUGCCCUUGGACAGGUUAUUUGCUGGGUCACUCUACAACGUGCAGCAACGGCGGCGUUGCAACGAUGGCCACGACGCCACCGCGUGACGGACAACCAGCCGCUAGAGCCCAUGCUGCUGCGGGAUGCUUGAGUCCACCAUUUGACGUUCAUGAAGGCCCUCCCGCUAAAAAGCGAACCGGACCUUUGUGGGGGUCGCUAAACAACGUGCAUGCGAUGGUACGCUGUAACGACGGUGACGGCGACUCCGGUGCAACGUCGACGUUCUCGGAAAGUGUGAUGUUGAGCCACUCGACAACGUGCAGAAAAAAGUCGGCGACAAGGUUCUCCGCAUUGACAUUGGUGGUCGCUGGACAACGUGUAGCACAAGGACAGGCAUAAUCACGACAGCCAGGAAGUUUCCAUCGUCAUCAUAAGUCCGCCCCAUGACGUUGCAGCUUCCGUGGGCUCCACGGUGUCCACUAUGCCUCGGAUUAUCAUUUCUAAUGGAACAGGACCCUUGUGGGUGACUCUACAACGUGCAGGGAAAGCUACGCUGUCAUGAAGAUGGAAACCAGUUCAGGCACUAGAAGUUUUCGGAGGGUUAUAAAGAGGUGUUCUUCCUGGAACCAGCAACCUGAGUCUACAAUGUGACGUUCGUGAAAGCCUUCCAACACUGUCUUUGGAGUAGCAGAAGGUUGUCAGCUGAGCUACUCUGCAAUGUCGAAAGGGGUUUGCCACGGCACAGACAGCAUUGUUUGGCUCCCGAUGCUCUUGAGCCGUUCAGUAACGUGCCGACGCCAUAACAGAGGCAGUAGAAGCGCAGACACUGUUGUUGAGUCCCGCCCCUGGCUGCCGCAACGCGAAAGAAUAGGAACAACUCGGCAGGCUUCAACGUGAGCCACAACCGCGAGCUGCUGCUGCUCUUGACCGAGGACGCUCUAUUGGCUGAUGGGCGAUGGUUGGGUCACUCGACAACGUGCAGAAACUCACAACGACAACGCCGGGACUUACCAAGCCGCUCGACAGCUUUAAAAAACGAGUCGGAUCUUUGCUGGGCCGCUUUACAACGUGCUUCCGCCAACAAUGCAAGUCACAGCUUGCGCCAAAGCGUGGGGACGUUGUGGAAAGGGUUCAUCGUGUCCCGUGUGGGCCGCUCUACAACGUGCAGGGAAAGCCACGCUGCGACGAUGGCGCAGACACCGGCUUGAAGUCGAAGCUUUUGGAGAGCUUGAGUCUGCCAUGCGACGUUCGUGGAGGCCCUCCUGCAUGUUGACCCCCCAGAAGAAUCUUGGUCGCGGCCUUUUGGGAGGGGUUGUCCAUGAUACACGUGGGCCGUCACCAUGACAACGCUGUGGAACAGCACUAUGGGACUGCCGGAAUGCAUCCUGCGUCGGCUGCCGGGUGAAGAGCGCCAGGCCUGCACCGGACCCCACUUUGAGUCGCUUCACAACGUGCCCUAAAGGACGGCGGAGGUGCAGCACCCCAUGAACAGCUCACAGUAGCAAAGGAAAGUGUGCCCCGCCACGUCUGGGUCGUCUCCAUGACAGCGCUGUUUGCCGUCUACGAACUGCGCCGUGCUCGGACUCCUCGGAUCAUUGCUGGGCCUCUUAACAACGUGCAGAAGUAACGAUGGUGACGGUGCAGACAACGGUGGGCCAUUUACGUGUGCUUAAAAGGAUCCUUGUUGGGCCGCUGUACAACGUGCACGAGCGUCUUCGCUGUAACGACGGUGACGCCGACACCGAUGCGCAGGGAACGUUCUAGGAGAGCACCUUUUCUGGGCCGCUUCACAACGUGCGCAACAAUGCGACCAAAGUGACCUUAUACCCUCAGCGAGGGAAUGUUUCUCGACAAAAGAAGCCGUUGGGCGGACAGUGGGGAUCCCUGUUGGGUCGCUUGACAACGUGCCAGAAUGCGCAGAGUAGAGCACCACAACGAAGCUGACAGUAAAACCGAAAGGAUGACUGUUGGGUCGCUCAACAACGUGCAGAGAGCGGGAAAGCCGCGUAGAUGCCACUCGCGGGACUCCGCCCCAUGACGUUCCAGUUUUUCGAGGAGUCCGAAGGGAUGUUGCCCUUCCUGCUCCGCUUCCAAAUGAAGGCUCCUGUGUUACUCGGGACGAAGCAAAGCAGUUAGCGUCGGAUGUAUGCGUUUGGCUGGCCAGCAUAUAUGGUCGGGACCGGACAAAAUUUUCACGGGACAUUGUGAGCCGCUUGACAACGUGCACAAGUGUGGACGGUGAUGGCGCCGACACUGGCGCACAGUCGACGCACCUAAAAAGGAUCCUUGAUGGGCCGCUUGACAACGUGCAGCAGUGCGGUCCACCAGACGCAUUGUCCGAAUAAGCAGAAGCUCCGCGACAACCAGGUUUAUGCUCUCUGCACGAGUCCGCCCACCGACGCUCAGGCAUCUGCAUCAUUGCUCUCCAGCUUUGCCAAGCAAUUACUUGCUUGGCAAAGGUAGGCCAUUUUGCUGGGUCGCUUGACAGCGUGCUGGAGACUGCGCAGGAAGCCCUCCACGAGGACGUGUCGUGCAAAACACCAUGUGUUGCACAUUGAAGGUGUUGCACAUUGCAGCUUGGGCCUGCCUCAUGACGUUAAGGGGGCGUGCCAGUCCUCCGGAAGAAGUCAUUAGCCUCUUCCUGGCAUCCCCCACGUAAUCCACCAGGCUUGGGCUACUUGACGACGUGCAGGUGGCAUUGAAACUUCCUCGUCGAGAGGAUGUUCUCGGCAAGGAGGACAGCUGGACCAUGUCGAUCCAUGCUGGGGCCUCUUAACAAUAUAUGCUGGAAUGUCCGUGGCGACAGCGCAGACGCCACUAGCGGCCAGUCAACGUUCUUAAAAAGCUUGCGCCUGGUUCCUGACGUUUCCUGCGGACCUCUUCUCUUGCGAGCGGGACCAUUAUUGGACAAAGCCUGGCUCAGGCACGCUAAUCAUCUCUACUAAACGGCAUUGUCGACAACAGCCGCCGAAACAGUGGCUUGUGGGGCCGGCCAUCGUGAAGCGCUGUCAUCGGAGACGGAGGCAACGGCUUUAGGCUGAGGCAAGCAGUGGGAGCUGCAAAGCGUCACCAAAUUAGGGGCCCCCGUGGGGGCGCCGCUAAAGGCUUCUGAUCUCCGUAGCCCUGCCCGACAAACCACAUACCUUAUCCAAGACAGCCAUCCCUUACACAAAUAAAUGCUUCACUCAUUCA
Dermacentor andersoni is the source of this 4107-nucleotide non-coding RNA. NCBI's taxonomy places the organism in Eukaryota, Metazoa, Arthropoda, Arachnida, Ixodida, Ixodidae. The record is from RefSeq and is a predicted model, not a curated record.